CUGCUUGUCUCAAAAGCAAUCCAGGUUUAAUGGUGGACAUCUGUUAACGUACGAAGAUGCAGAAUGACGCUUUUUGAUUUGAUACUUUAAAACAGUGGUUCUUUUUUUUUUUUUUAAAGAUUUAUUUUUUUCCUUUUUCUCCCCAAAGCCCCUCGGUACAUAGUUGUAUAUUCUUCAUUGUGGGUCCUUCUAGUUGUGGUAUGUGGGACGCUGCCUCAGCGUGGCUUGAUGAGUAGUGCCAUGUCUGCACCCAGGAUUCGAACUGACGAAACACCGGGCUGCUUGCAGCGGAGCGCAUGAGCUUAACCACUCGGCCACGGGGCCAGCCCCAAAACAGUGGUUCUUUUUUAACCCUACCAGACCCAACUCAACACACACCACUUUUUAUAAAAAAUAUUCUAUAACAUCACUACAAUUAUUAAAUGAAAGUCAUGGAUGAUAAAAACUACCUUCACACAUAAAAGCAUCACCCCCAUUUACUGUUCCCAAAUGAAAUUAACGGGUAAUGUAACUGACCUCUAUACGUACACAUCAAUAUAAUGUCCUAAGUGGAAUAUAAACAAAUACAGAUAUUUCAUAAUGAAAUAACUGUUUUAAUAUGUAAAUCCUCUAGGAUGAUUAUAUUACAAGAUGCAAUGAAAUAACACGGCACAUACUUGCGUCUGUAUAUAACAUCACCAGGCAUGUGGCAGCUGCAAGUGCAGACCAGGGCGGUCCGGCCAUAUUGGCAACUCAACACCAGGAGCAGGAUUGAUGUUGGCAAUAUGCUUUUCUAAAAUGUGGCCAGUGUUCCAGACCAAGCAGAGGUCUCCAACAGCGACACACAUACAAUGCUUGCUAGAUGCCUGGCAUUGUUCUAAAUACUCACCUAACAACUUUAUGAGGUGGAUGCCACUGUCAUUCCCAUUUUACAUGAGGAAGUUUCCAAGUAUUCGCAGCUGAUGCUGGCAGAGCUGGGAUUAAAAUCGAAACAAUCUAGCUCUGGCAUCCUUGCUCAUAAUCACUUUACUGUACAGGCUUCCUUCGAUUUAUAGAAUAUCUGCGUUCCUGAAAAAGCCAAUGUAUAUUAAAACCGGGCUAAAAAUUCCCUGUGUGUUUAUAUGUAAAAUAAAAUUAUAGCC
This 1121-nucleotide long non-coding RNA is filed under the name Equus caballus (horse). RNAcentral describes it as "lncRNA (ENSECAG00000046649.1)". Lineage: Eukaryota; Metazoa; Chordata; Mammalia; Perissodactyla; Equidae. The record is from RNAcentral.